CCCUUAGAUGUUCUGGGCCGCACGCGCGCUACACUGAUGCAUCCAACGAGUUUCUUCCUGGUCCGAGAGGAAUGGGUAACCUUUUGAAAGCGCAUCGUGAUAGGGAUAGACUAUUGCAAUUAUUGGUCUUCAACGAGGAAUUCCUAGUAGACGUAGUUCAUCAGACUGCAUCGAUUACGUCCCUGCCCUUUGUACACACCGCCCGUCGCUCCUACCGAUUGAAUGCUCAGGUGAGCCAUUCGGACUUUCAUCAUGCUGGUUUCCAGUUUUGAUGAAGGAAAGUCUUGCGAACCUUAUCAUUUAGAGGAAGGAGAAGUCGUAACA
This 324-nucleotide ribosomal RNA is filed under the name uncultured eukaryote. RNAcentral's name for it is "partial 18S ribosomal RNA". It matches the Rfam family "Eukaryotic small subunit ribosomal RNA", at positions 1470 to 1796 of the family's 1831-position model. The record is from RNAcentral.